CACCGCCGCGGUAAUACGAAGGGUGCAAGCGUUACUCGGAAUUACUGGGCGUAAAGCGUGCGUAGGUGGUGGUUUAAGUCCGUUGUGAAAGCCCUGGGCUCAACCUGGGAAUUGCAGUGGAUACUGGGUCACUAGAGUGUGGUAGAGGAUAGUGGAAUUUCCGGUGUAGCAGUGAAAUGCGUAGAGAUCGGAAGGAACAUCUGUGGCGAAGGCGACUAUCUGGGCCAACACUGACACUGAGGCACGAAAGCGUGGGGAGCAAACAGGAUUAGAGACCCGCGUAGUCCCUGUCUCUUAUACA
Molecule: ribosomal RNA, 301 nt
Filed under: uncultured bacterium
Lineage: Bacteria
Description: partial 16S ribosomal RNA
Rfam family: Bacterial small subunit ribosomal RNA
Source: RNAcentral